ACGGGAGGCAGCAGUGGGGGAUAUUGCACAAUGGGCGAAAGCCUGAUGCAGCGACGCCGCGUGAGGGAAGACGGUUUUCGGAUUGUAAACCUCUGUCUUCGGGGACGAAAAUGACGGUACCCGAGGAGGAAGCCACGGCUAACUACGUGCCAGCAGCCGCGGUAAUACGUAGGUGGCAAGCGUUGUCCGGAAUUACUGGGUGUAAAGGGAGAGUAGGCGGGAUUGCAAGUCCGUUGUUAAAUCUAUCGGCUCAACCGAUAGUUGCGGCGGAAACUGUAGUUCUUGAGUGAAGUAGAGGCAGGCGGAAUUCCUAGUGUAGCGAUGAAAUGCGUAGAUAUUAGGAGGAACACCAGUGGCGAAGGCGACUUUCUGGACUGUAACUGACACUGAGGUACGAAAGCGUGGGGAGCAAACAGGAUUAGAUACCCUGGUA
This is a ribosomal RNA of 433 nucleotides. It matches the Rfam family "Bacterial small subunit ribosomal RNA", at positions 341 to 792 of the family's 1533-position model.